UAUACAUGCAAGUCGAGCGCAUGACGAGGAGCUUGCUCCUCUGAUUGAGCGGCGGACGGGUGAGUAACACGUGGGCAACCUGCCCUGUAGACGGGGAUAACUUCGGGAAACCGGAGCUAAUACCGGAUAAUCCUCUUCCCCACAUGGGGAAGAGUUGAAAGGCGCUUUCGCGUCACUACAGGAUGGGCCCGCGGUGCAUUAGCUAGUUGGUGGGGUAACGGCCUACCAAGGCGACGAUGCAUAGCCGACCUGAGAGGGUGAUCGGCCACAUUGGGACUGAGACACGGCCCAAACUCCUACGGGAGGCAGCAGUAGGGAAUCUUCCACAAUGGACGAAAGUCUGAUGGAGCAACGCCGCGUGAGUGAUGAAGGUUUUCGGAUCGUAAAACUCUGUUGUAAGGGAAGAACCAGUACGUCAGGCAAUGGACGUACCUUGACGGUACCUUAUUAGAAAGCCACGGCUAACUACGUGCCAGCAGCCGCGGUAAUACGUAGGUGGCAAGCGUUGUCCGGAAUUAUUGGGCGUAAAGCGCGCGCAGGUGGUUUCUUAAGUCUGAUGUGAAAGCCCACGGCUUAACCGUGGAGGGUCAUUGGAAACUGGGAGACUUGAGUGCAGAAGAGGAAAGUGGAAUUCCAAGUGUAGCGGUGAAAUGCGUAGAGAUUUGGAGGAACACCAGUGGCGAAGGCGACUUUCUGGUCU
RNAcentral lists this ribosomal RNA (700 nucleotides) under Rummeliibacillus sp. S2Ba-28. RNAcentral describes it as "bacterial SSU rRNA". It matches the Rfam family "Bacterial small subunit ribosomal RNA", at positions 50 to 735 of the family's 1533-position model. Lineage: Bacteria; Bacillati; Bacillota; Bacilli; Caryophanales; Caryophanaceae. The record is from RNAcentral.